UGCACAGAAACACGUGUCAACCGUUUCAGAAGCGCGAGUGCCAAGCCAGAGCGUCUCACCCCGGGGACUGGGCUGAGCUAGUCCAGCUCAGUCUUGGAAAUCUGUCGGAUGCAGACAAGAGACAGGUCUCCAGAGUCGAGGACCGCACAGCAGCCCUGGUCAGCAGCUCUGCAGAGGUGCUGGUGCCGAACGCUGGGACUUGUGAUAUCAGGGGAUGGGGAGGAAGAAAGCAGCCCGGAAAUGGGUGUUAGCAGGGCACAGCAAACCCAAGCGCCUUAAAGAGUAACGAGCCCAUUUCUCAUUCUUUUCCCUUCCCCGGAACUUUCGCAGCGCCCUGCACAAUUUCAGCCUGUACUUGACAUUCAAAUGCAUGUAGGAUCAUGCAUCUCAUUUCUCGGUGGUUCCCAAGUCGCCUAAAUAAAGCAUUUCCCAGGGUAGGCGAUCCCGGGGGUUAGGACCGUGGGAGCAGCCCUGGGACCUCUCUGCCUGGGUCAGGAAGGCUGCUCUUUCCGGAAGGGCGGCAGAGACCCUGGGAACUGGACCAGCCCAGCUCGCAAGUAUGAAGAGAAUGCAGGGGGAGGAAGUGGCGGCUGAGAGUCAGCAUGAGUCAUCGUCCCAAUGAGAAUGAGGGCCGAGGUGUGCGCCUGUUUUUUUUUUUGGUCUUGAUUGUGUGGACAUCACUGGGAAUGGAGGGAGCCGGUGGUGACUGUACCGCUCGGUCAGUUUUAAAGCAGCGCUCCGUGCGGGCAGGCUGGGCCUGAGCAUGACUUUGGUCCCCGGGAAGGAACAGCCCUCAGCUUCUCCCUGAAUAACUGGGAGACGGAACAGGAAGCUCUAUGACACACUUGAUCGAAAAUGACACAGACUCAGAAAAACCAGGACUCAGCCCCCCAGCGCCUCUGCCUGCUGCCGGCUGGAAGGCAGGACAAGGGGUCUCCUGGGACCGGAUUCUAGCUGCUGUGGACGCUCAGGGUUUCCAUGUUCACUGGGAUGUUUCUGCAAUCUUUUGGUCAUGGAUGGUGCACUCGUGAUGUUGUCUUAUUUAUCCGGCCAGUCUCUUGUGUCUUAAUCCCUCUCCUUCAUUAAAGCAAAACUAAAGAAAACCAAACUGUUUGCUUAUUCGCUGUAUGGAAACCCCAGCUGAAGGGGCCGACCCAUGUCCACUGAGCUUCCCGAAGGCACAGGUGAUGCUCGUCUCCACCACGUGUUCCUUACGAUGUUGAGCUUGAACCUCAAUUACUCAGCCAUGGUUGUCCUACUUCUUAAAUCUCCAGAAGGUCUCUCUAGAGUCAGCAUGGCCAGGUCGACCUUUGAGAAGAACCCUGGAAUCCAUCUGGAAAUCUCUUGCCUCGCCCACCCUGAUUCUGGCUUGCACCUGUGACCCCAAGAUCACCAGGAGCCUUUCAGCUGGGGAUCUUGGCCUUGUCUGUGUCCUCCUCCCUGCCCCACAUCCACUACCCCUUUGCUUAUUCAUUCCCUAAAGUUUUCUCUGGGGCCUACUGUGUGCCCAUGGCUGCCGACAAGGCCCAGGUUGUGGCCAGCUCUGCCCCCACCUCCCAGCGCUGCUCACCUCCUGAGGGGUUUCGCUCAGGGAGCGCCGGACAGAUCACCAGGCCUGGCUCACUGAGAUGCCCUGAUUCCCCAGAUCCAUGCCUCAGAUCUGAGGCCUGGAACUGGCCCCUGAAUAGUCCUCAAAGAAACAAGAUGGCAGGCCAGCCUCCCCUGCCCCAGGCCACGAGCAGGACAACCCACUUCCCUGAGGAUGUGCCGAGAGAGGCCACUUGUUGUCACCUCCCAGUACUGUCUCUUCAUCUAUAAGCAGACGUUCCAGAACAAUGCUGAGUGGGUCAGCUCUUCACUUCUCCGCAAGGCUGCCAUGCUGAGCCGUCUGGCCUUCUGACCAGGGUUUUGGUGGGCACUUCGAGUCCAUCUCUGAGGCUGGUUGACGCUGUGGCCAGGACUGGCCAGUGUCAGCCAGGCUCUCUCCAUGACACUGCCCAACAGGAAAGGUGGCCUGCGAAUCGAUUCGCAUCAGAAACCCAAAGUUGCUCAGCUAUGUUUUUAAAAAAGUUUAUUUGCUUAUAUUCCUGGAAAAUUGUGUUGUGGAGGGACGUGUCCUCAGUGGGCUGUCUCUAGCUGCUGCUUCUCAGCAGGACAUUAAGAAGGCCAGAUAAAGUGACUCUUAAGAUCCCACUGGUCGGAGCUUCUUGGUUUUUUUUUUUUUUUCUCUACUGGUUUCAUGUGACUGGAUUCUACUAGAGAGGGAACAGUGCAGACGGGUGACAUUAGUGUCAUGGACCCCGAGUCACCCAGGCCUAGCUGGACUUACACACAAGGGGCUCCCCUGACAGGCACACUUUCUCCCAAGGGGUCACCCCUCUCCCAUGUUCCAGAGCAGAACACAACAAUAUCCUUUGCCCUUUCCCAAUCUUACCUGCUAGGGUUACGUUGGGCCUUAAAAAUAUGGAAGUCAAAGGCUUGAGGAGAAUCACAAAUAACCCCCAGAGUGUUCACAGGCCAAUCAGUUCAUAGGAGGAUAAGAGAAAAAGCAAGAGGGUGGACCGUGCAACUCUAGGUGGUUAGGCAGUAACUCUGCCCCUGGCCAGAUAGUAGAAUUACUCAGGACUUACAGAAAAACAUGUUUAGACCCUCAGGCCCACCUAGACCAAUCCCAUCAGAAUUGGGGAUGGGGUCAGAUCUCAGUCCUUUUAACAACUUCACGGGCCAUUUUGGUGCAUAGCUGGAAACACCGGCCCAAGGCUGCCCUGUCCAGUGCAGUAGCCAUUGGCCACAGGUGUCCUUUGAACACUUAAAACGUGGCUCCCGUGAUCAAAGAGCUAAACUUUUAUUUCCUUUUUUUUAUUUUGGUUUAAUUUAAACUUAAAUAUCCACAUGUGGCUUGGGUCUGCCAUGUAGGACAGCUCAGAAAAGAACAUACGUAUCACGAAAAGAGUAAUAAAGAAAGUUCCGUGGGUUCGUGUGGCCUGAGGGGGCCACCAGACCUUACUGCCGUCUGAACGUGGGAGGCCUGUGGCGUGGCUCUGUUGACUUCAGAGGGACCUGCCCUCCUCUCCUGGGCCUACAGUGUGUUUUGCAUCUAUAUUUUGCACGGGGGCUGUGUACCAGCAAGGCCAAUAUGCUUUCAAAGCACUGAGCCGUACGAGGAAAAGAAUUGAGAAUCAAUCUCGACCCAGGUGCAAGGCCCAGACCCGACACCCUUUGUGUCCCCUCUGCCAGUUUGCUGUGUCUGCCUCUUUGGAGACCCAGCCUGGGAAGGGAGCUUUUCUGCUAUGGGAUGACUCUAUUCCAAGAAUCUGGGACAGUACCCGAAGAACUUUUGGGAAAACCAGGGACUAGAUGUGUCACCCAGGAGAGGAGUCAUGGUUUCGAGAUGGGCUCAGGGAGGUGGCUCAGCAAGCUCCACCAGUUUGGGGUUACAGAUGAAGAAAUAGAAGUCAAAGCUGAAUCAUUUUCUGCUUAUCACUCAGAGAGUGUCAGAUUUUCUUUUUCUUUUUUUUUUUUUGUUGGAGGGAAAGCACCUGGACGACGAAAAGAGUCAUACUAUUUUGAAUUUCAGAGCUUUCCCUUUUUCAGAGCACCUCACCCUCUUGGGCUUGUUUGGUCCUCCUAACAAGCCUCUAAGACAAGCAGGAAAGGGGCCUUUGGUGGCCAGCACCCCGAGAAGGAGCUCGACACCGUGGUAGGAUGGAAGGGAGCAGGUUUGGUUGUCCGAUCCCAGGCUGCACACGUGAGCUUAGGUUGUGUAACUCAAAACAAAUGUACAGAUUACACAGAUUUUUUUUUUUAAAUUUUAAUUUACAGUGGGUUGUGUUUCUGAAGGAAAACAGCACUCUGCACUUGUUCUAUUGGGUUGCAUACCAGGUUCCUAAUCCUCCAGGCGGGAUUCUCUGGGGACAUUCCUUCCUCGGAGGCUCCAGUGACCUACAGAUUUGGUAAAUAUGCCUUCAGUGUCUUUCUGCAAGUUAUUUAAAAAUGGCAGCCAGGACAGGGCCCUGUGGGUCUCCACGAGACUCAUUCCUCCCUCCUACCAGGCACAGACAGCAUGACACCCUUCCCUUGGGGGUCUUCAACCUUUUCCCACGUAGAGUAGUAGCAGAGAGGGCUGUCAAACCACACCUCCAGGGGACAGCAACUGCUUAUUGGUCUGACCGGCUGAGACCUCAUGGUGGCCCCAGCAACCAGGGCCGUCUCCAGGGCUGACGUGGGAGUAAGGGUGGCAGGAUGGAUCUGAUGCCACCAGCUGACCCCUGAGGAUGGCUGUCCUGCCCGUGUGACCCCUCCUAGCCACACCAUCAUCGGGGCCAUCGUGUGCACCCACACACAUACAGGACACGAGAGGUUGUCAAAUGCUCUACUGAAAGCAAGCCACCCUUUCUGGGGCAUUCCCCCACUCGGCUGUGCUGGGGAGGCUCGUCAAAACAGGAAAUGAGGUUAGCAUGGAAUGACUUUCUCUCAGAGAACUUGGUUGCCUCCUAGAGACCACCUCUAGCUUCCCAAAAGGCCGUGGGCCUUGCUCCGAGCCUCCCCUGGGCUUUCCUGGCCAGGCGAGGGCAUCUGCUCCUCUGCGAUGCUCGGGGCGGCUCCUUGGGAAAACAGUGGGAGGUCUCCUGGCUCCAGCCCCCGGCCCCCUCCCUGGCAGGCCAGCGUCCCUGAGCCGUGGGCCUGUGGGCCUGAAGUGAGACGGCACAUUCUCCAGCCACAGCUGGGUGCACGCACCCGGCGCCAGGCUCACGCCUGGGCUCCCGGGUUUCAGGUGGCUCCUUCCCUCAGGGAGUUGAUGGAUCCAGCACGUUCCCACAUUAUCAGGGAGGUGGUAAGAGAAGGCUGAGCCAGGGAGGUGACGCUUCGUGGGAGCCACCCACUGUCCUUCGGCUCCACAGACGACCUUUGGCUCAGAAUGUGCCAAGAGGGGAGUAACCGGGCCUGGUGGCAUUCGAGUGAGCCCCACACGGUGCCCUAGCCAUGGAAAGAGCGGCAUCAUCUCCCCCCUGCGGGGGCCUUCCCACCAGCAGCCCUGAGUGCUGAAGUGCUUCGAGCCACACUUCCCUUCAUGGGGGAGAAAGGAGUCGACCUGAGGGAAGGUCUGGCCUGACCUCGACACUGGGCUGGACACUUGUCUCCAAGCACCAGGCUCAGUUGACUUUUUGGAAAUGCAUCCGCCCGGGCCCUGUGCUCUCACCACUGGGAUCCGGAUCUGCCCCUUUUCCCCACACGAUGCAGCAGGACCUCAGAGGCCAGCCUGAGCGGCGGCUGCAGUGGGUCAAGUCCUGCUCCUCUCCUUCAUCCCGGGGCCUGGCCGUCCUCUCCCCAGGUCUAGGGGCGCCAUGUUUUCGGUGGUGCAGGCGCCUUCCUAACACCCCGGCUCCCUGGUGAGCCUCAGUUUGCUCUGGAUCAGCUUUUGGUGGCUUGUAACUGCCAACCCCACAGCAGGACCCAGGGGCAGGGUUAGUGUCCUUUUGUUAGGUCAAGAAAACAGUUUUGGUGAGACCCCAGGUCAUAACACUUGUGACAUGGUGCCUCCUGGGUUUAGAUCCAGAGGAACCCAGCCCCACGCCUCUCGUCAUUAUGUUGUCUCUGUACGUCGUAAAGGAAAACCCAUUUUCCCUUAGAAAGGGCUGUGAGUGCUGAGUGACAUUGGGAAGGGACUGUGUCACUGGGGUCAGGGGCAGGCAGACCUGGGCUCUGCAGGCCACCUGGGUCAGAAAGGCAGCAAGGGGCUGGCCCUCCCACUGCCACCAGAAGCUGCACUUCCACAGAUCCUGGGGGACUUUGAGGGCACGCAGGUGCGAGGUCUGCUCCUUACUCUGGGCCCUGUGUGGGUGACAGAGAAGUGGGUUCUGCCCUCGUUCUUCCCAGGAGCUGGUCAGGGGCUGGGACAACCAGGCAGAUGGAGGCUCCUGGGGUCCAGUGGGCAGCCCUGGCCCCUCAGCUCCUCAGGGAGGGGGAAGGGUCAGGAAGCCAUGGAAAGAGCAGCGUAGAGCAGGCCAUCACUGUCAUGGGGGUGGGGAGGAAGGAGAAGGGGGACACCGUCCAGGUGGCUGCUCCCCCUCUGGCCCUCGCCCCACUCCUCCUCCCUUCUUCCAGGUGCAGGGCACAGCUCUGGAAUCACUGUCCCCGGUCCCUUUGGCAAGGUGGCCAGGGACCCUGGUUUGCUGAGGAUGGCCUCUUCAUGGCGGCUAGACAUUGACCUAGGGCCAUGCCUCACUUCCUAUGUCCCUGUCGUGCUCAGAGACGUCCUGGUGUGGACGCUUGGGUCCCCUCUUUGGGCCCCACAUCGGCUUUGCUGUGCCAUCAGGAGCUGGAUCUGCAAACACCAGCUCCUAACUCGGGGAAGUGAGCCCGGCAGCCCCCGCAGUUCUGGCAGGGCCACCUCAGAAGACGCAGGGUGGACAAUGGGGAGGGACAGUGUAUGCACUCGGCACCUGGGUGAAGGCCCGUGGUCAUGCAGGCAUACAUGAACGUGUGACAUGGGUGUGUUGCAUGUGGGGACAUGGGGUGUUUGGAUGGGGUGCCUGUGUGCCUACGGGGUGGCACACUGUGAGGGGGUGUGCACUGCCUGUGUGUCUUGUGUGUGGUGUGGUGUGGUUGUGCAAGGGGGACGUGAGUGGGUGUUGUGGUACAAGGGUCUGUGGCACAGGUGGACGUGUGGGCCUGGUGGGUGUGUGCAGGACUGUGCCCAUGUGAUGUGGGUGUGGAGUGCCCCUUGGCUGUGGGAGUCACAUGAUGCCUCGUGUGCUUCCUGGGCCAGGGAGGGGCAGAGGCACAGGCCACCUGUCUCCCCAGGUCUCUGCUUGACACUGCCUACAGGGAACGCCUCCCAGGCCUGCUAGCCCACGGGCACAGAGGCCCUGCUGAGUGCAGAGCCAGACACCCAGGCCUGGAGGCGAGGUGGGUGGGUGGGGCUUCCCCAGGUUGGGCCUAGCACCUUGCUGGGCCCCAGGAAGGCUGUAUCCAGGUCACCACCUGGAGCCCCUUCCUCCUGCCCUGCUUAGUGACACAAGGCCCCUGUGGAUGCUUCUGGCUCCAACUUCCUGUAUAGCAGCCAAGAUGGAGCCGGGAGCUCCCUCCUCCUGCCUCUUGGGUCACUGGCCUUCCUAAAUUGCUUUCUCCUGGAGAUAGGGCAGAAGAGACCAGGACCUAGCUGGUGGAAGUUAUGACACGAGGAAGCUGUCCUCCAGAAGGAGGGCCCCUGCCAGCUCAGUCUUGGUCUCUCCUGCUGUGUCCCCCUGAGAAAGCACAUUGGGCUUCCCUCCGUCAUGGCCCCACCUCGGACAUCACUCUGCUGCUGAUGGGUGGAGGGUGGCUAACCCGCCCCCAGGGCCAGAGGCAUCCUGCCCUCUGUUUACUCAACCCCCAGCCCUGCCACCCACCGUCACCUCUCUGGAAGGGCUUUGCUCUUGGCUGAGGACCACCCAACUGUCACAGUCACUCUCCCAGAGGCAACAAUGGCCCAGGAACGUUUUUCUGAAGACAUGGUAGGAGCUGGGGCCCCUCUCUUAGGGUUGUGGAGAAGGAGACGUGAUAAGUUACAGGAGUUGGUCACAAUGGGUCCCUGAUCUGGUCUGCAUGGCCUCCCCUGAGUCGCUCCAAGUCUCUGUUUUCCAAAUCCACAAACUGGAGAGAACACGGCCUCCCACUCGGGCAUGAGGGAGGCUGCUUGGUCUAAUACCUGGUGGCCAUUCUACACAGCAUCCUAGUUCAUAAAGACUGAGUGUGUAUUAAACUAUAAAUAUGUCAGAGAGGAGCAUAGCCAUGCCACCGGAGGACACUCCCAAGGGUCCUUAUGACCUUCGCCAUGAAAUGAAAACUAUCACAAGGAGGAAAAGGGGAUCUAGAGAGAAGGGAUAGCAGAGGUCUCAGAAGAAAGAAGGAAGGAAGGAAGGAAAGAAGGCAGGAAGGGUCAGAGAGCGAGAGAACCGAGGGACGCAGGGCCAGCCUGCCAGACUGCUGCUUCCCCUGUCUGUGACAGCAGGACACCCAGGACCCACUCCUCAUCUGCAGAGCCAGACAUGGUAUAGGAACAGUGAUUUGCUUUAAUGUAAAUAUUUUGAUGUAUUUCUUUUCCUGAACUUUUAACCUUGAUGGUAAACAGGGCACAUACAGUAAAUGAAUUGUUUUUCUGAGAACUGACUUUUGAGGAAAUAGGAAAAAAAAAAAAGAAAGAUUUUUAUUAGCUAAUUAUCAGUCUAGCAUGUGAUUGAAAACCUUCUUAUUGUGCUUCUUAAGCCUGCUUCAGGAGAUUUUGGGCCACUAAAAGAGAGCCUUAGUUUAAUGUAUGGAAAUCAAAACCAUGACUAUGUGUUUGAGCCCAGAUUCAGAGAGCAAACCUGCAGACAGAAGGGAAGUCUCCUGCCAGGUCCCUGAGACAGCAAACCAUACAAGACUCCAGGUCCCAGUUUGCUGCCUGUAGAGACUCUAUUCCUUCCUGGUUCCUGUCCUACCCUGACCACUUUGUUUCAUGCUUAUCCAUUAGAGCAGGUUUUACGAUAGAAGAAGGAAUGUUAAGGUCCACUCUUAAUGUCCAAGGGGCUGCCUUCCUUCUCCCGGCAGACGGCUGACUGGGCCAACCUUCUUCAGAGACCCUGUCUGUGCCAAUCCAUUGCAUAAAAUUAUUUUGUGAACCCGGCUGCAGUGGUGCCCACCUGUAACCCCAGGGGCUCGAGAGGCUGAGGCAGGAGGAUUGCAAGUUCAAAGCCAGCCUCAGCAACUUAGCAAGGUGCUAGGUAACUCAGUGAGGCCCUAAGCAACUUAGUGAGACUCUGUUUCUAAAUAAAAUAUUGAAAAGGGCUGAGGAUGUGGCCGAGUGGUUAAACACCCCUAGGUUCAAUCUCUCGUACCAAAAAAAAACAAAAGGUUAUUUUGUGACAAUGACAGGAACCACACCAACUUGAGUCCCACUACUGACGGUUCCAUUGAGAGUCUCCCUUCACCUCUGUCCUGUAAUUUCUCUGUUACCUGAAGAUCUGCUGCCUUGGUGUUAGAUCUCUCAUGUGCUUUGAAAUACCUACAGGGAUGAAGACACCUCGGAUCCCAUGUCCUGUGAAGCCCCACUGUAACAGAGCAAUGCGGGGCCGGAAGGGCCCACGAGGCCAACAGCGACCUGGCCUCAGGACAAGUCUUCACUGGGUCGCCCAGGGCUUCUGCGUCUAGCAGAACCAGUCCUUUAAAGUUAAGCCAAGGACACUGGGAUAAGUAUCCCAGGUCUUCCAAGAUGCGUGGCAAUGCCAACGAAGCUUCCAGGCAAGAUUUUCCUUGCAGUCUUAGAACGGGGAGGAAGGUCGCAGGAAAAAUGAAAUGACCCACAGGACCUUUGUUAAAGGACGGGAUUGGGAUAGACCACAGAAUGAGUUAAGACGGGCAGCUCCUAGGAAGUCAGUCCCCAGCUCUCCCAGUCUCCAUCCUUCUCUCCUCCACUUCCUUUCAGAGUAAAUUAGAGAAUCGGCUAAAAUCCAAGUUAAGUGUGUGGUAUAUUUAUCUGAUUGACCUCCUUCUCCUCAUCAUAUCUUAUCUUCACUUGUAAAUUAUUAGCAUCCUCCUCCUGGUCUCCAGGCACAUUAUUCGCACGAUUUCUUUAAAUGUUAGUCAGUCUCUCUGUCUCUGUCUCUGUCUCUGUCUCUCUCUCUCUCUCUCUCUCUCUCUCACACACACACACACACACACACACACACCUACACACACAUACACCCCUGUCCUGCAGAAACCAUAGCUACUGUGAACAGUUCAUCCUCUGUCAUUCACUGGGAGCUUUGGUCUAGGAAGCCGCUUCUGGUGCUACUGGUGACCACGUCCACACCACGCAAGGAGCCACUCUCCCCCGCAAUAUAACAAGACAUCAGGUAAAUCCUAAAGAAUGAAAUUGUGGGAAGCUGAGGCAGGAGAAUGGCAAGUUUAUGGCCAGCCUCUACAACUUAGAGAGGUCCUAAGCAAUGUAGGGAGACCCAAUGUCAAAAAAUAAAAAGGGGCUGGGAUGUGGCUCAAUAGGUAAUCAAUGGUUUAGUGUGCGCGAGUUCAAUCCCUGAUACAGGGAAAAAAAAAAAAAAGAACUGGGUAUAGAUCAAUGAUAAAGCAUCUCUGGAUUCAUUCCCUGGUACAAAAAAAAAGAAACUUCAUUUAUUUUUCUACCUAUGUCCCUUCUAGUUGAUAAACAUUCUCGGUAGUGUUCCAACUGGUAAGUCCGGGCAUCUAUAAGGCUCUGUGAAUCAAGUAUUUUUGAGAUCUAUUAGGAAAAGGUGGGUUUGUUUCACCCGGAGGCUCAUCAUGUUACUGCAAACAACCUGAGUGGUUGGUAUGAUCAUCUCCGAUUGAUCACCAAUACCCCAGGCCCAAGGUGAAGUUCUGCAGCCAGAAACUAGAUCAAUCGGAAUGCAAGCCCCCUCCCCACUGCCUCCAGGACCCCUGGGCCAAGGUGAGAAGGUGGGCCCAGCCCAGUACUUCCAGGUCCCCACGCUCUGUGCCUGCCUGUCACACGUACCCCAGCAGCGUGAGAGCUCCUUACUCUGCAUCUUGAAGGAACCCUCUUCCAGAAAGACCUUCCCCUCUGGGCGGCAAGACCCAGUGACAGGCUGGUGGCCCUCCCUCCACUGCGUGAGACCUGAAGGAAAUGUUACCUGGACUGGUGGAGGCAGACGUGUCUCUCCUAUUUUCUGCCGGGUUUUUUUUGUUGUUGUUGUUGUUUUACUUAAAGGAGGUGAGGAACCCUGGAAAACGGGGAAUCCCACUUUUUUGAAGUCAUCAGCCAUCAAUUCUCAGAACUGUAACCACAAAUCACCCAAAAGCAAAACCCUGGAGAGGAGGCAUGGAGGUGGGCUGGGAAUUCUGUGUGUCCCCUGAGCAAGUGCCCCUGACUCAUGCCACGCUGUUGGAGAGCGCUGCCAUGACCCACUGUGUCCCGGACAUAGUCUGAGCUGUGUGCUUCUCUCCUUCCACAGAUGGCAGAAUCGGGGAGACCAAAUGCAGCACGAAGAAUUGUUUCAAAAACGCUUGCACCCUCUCACAAAAAUGGGGAACUUGAUCCCUGUGGGUCAGCUCUGUGUUUUGAAAAAAGGAAAGUAGGGGUCAUUCUUUGCCCUGAAAGUUCCCACUCAUUGUUGAGUAAACAUCAUAAAUCCAUCUCAGAGACAGGCUGCUGGACUCAAAUUACCUCCUGCUACAAUUGUAGCUUCAAGUUCUAAUGCUCAACAUGAAUAACAUUGUCCCACUCACAGGUCUGAUUAAUGAGACAUUUUGCCAACUUCGGGGUGGAAGAUCAGCUCCCAGCCCCUCCCUCUCCCCCCUGUGACUGGGUAACCAUUUCAGCACAUUCCCCCCCAUUAAGUCCUACAGGGCAGCCGAGUGCCACAAAAACUAAAGGAUAUGGGACAGACACCAGGGUCUCUCUGGGCAGCCCUUACCAGCUGACAGAGGGCAGGUUUGCUCGGGUCUGCCCCAAGAAAUUCAGAACAUUCCAUGCACACUGCGCCAUUUGCCUGUGGCCAUGUGGAGCCUGCAGGUCACUCCUAUAGGACCAUCUGCUUCCCCCGGUAGUCGUGUGUGCCCUACUUGCCUGCAAAGUGACCAAGGCCACAUUUGAAAGUGUGGCAGAAAGUCACAUUCAAGAGGUGACCCAAAUAAGCAUUUCACACCCAACCAGAGAAGAGUGGGGAUUUUGUCUGAUCUAGAAAGUGUCUGCUUCCACAUAAUUCCUGGAAGGAGCACUGAUCACAUGGGAGGAGCCCCACUGGGAGCCGUGGGGGUGAGGGGGGGGGGGACCCCAGGGCUUGCUGAGUCUGCCCUACAGACAUGCUCUCAUUUGCCAUCCUCCUGAGCAGUCAAGGACAUCAUCUCUGGGUUUCCCAGAUGAUCGAGCCGUGGCUUAUGGGCUGGUGGCACAGCCAGGAUCUGCGCUCUGGUCUCAAGUGUGAAAGUCGCACUCACCCUCUCGCCCUGUGCCUUCCUUCUCCACACCUGUAUGUGCGCACACACCCCCUACUCCCUCGUGGGCAUCAGUUACAUCAGUGUGGACACAUCCCCAGCAUGACCUGGAUCUGUCCAGAUUUGACGGAUUGAGAAGCUACGUUUUCCAUGCAAUUGAGGCUUUAUAUAAUUAUUAUUUCAGGUGAGUCUGAUUUGUUUUUACACCAGGGUUCAGUAAGCAUCUUUCUCAAGGCCACAUGGUGCAUAUGCAGACUUUGCAGCCCCUACGGUCUCUGUGACCGUCACUCAGCUCCGCCACUGCAGCACAGAGCUGGCCACAGGCAAGACGUGCAGGAAGGAGAGUGGCUGUGUUCCAGUAAAACUUUAUUUAAAAAACUGAGCGGCAGCCAGGUUUGGCCUCAGACCAUAGUUUGGGACCCCAGGGCUUUCAACCCAUCAAGUGUCAUAGUCUGGUGUUUCAGACACUGGGUCUGUCCCGGCGGUGGCUGGGGCUAGCACCCUUGCCAUCAGGGUGUGGGAGUUGCCACUGCUUAGGAAGCACUGGACGAGGAAUGAGGCGGCUCUCAGCAGGGGAGGCCGGUCCAUCAGAGCUGCUGGUGGGGAGUCCUUUGUGUGUGGGGACAUCUGCCCAGGAGCCUUCCUUGGGAAGCCCUUGAUCACACCAUCGUCUUCCUUUUCUCUGCCCUCUCCACCUGUUCCCACUCAAAGGGACCCACCUGAGUUGUUUUGACCCACACAGUGUCUUAUUCACCCUCCGAGCCACACUGUGGCCUCAUUGGGUCAUCUGCGUGGCCGUUUGGAAGGUGUGGGUAGGGCAGGGCUGCAGGGGGCUCAGUGUGUCUCCUUCCUCUUCAACCCUGCCACUGCCACCGCGCUCUGGAAGGUGCUUCUGGUCCCUUAGACCCUCCCAAACCUCGCAAGGCCAAGGCUCCCGGCUUGAGAGACUGUUGGGAAGACCUGGCUCAGGAGAACAUGGGCCACACUUCAGGAGGCUGAGCUAGGUGCAGCAGGCUGGGCCAGGGAUGUGCUGCCACGGCCGUGAGCCGUGACCACAGGAUGUCCACGCCUGGAAGGUCAGCAGCCCCAGGGCCCCAAGUCCUCGGUGAGAAGGCAGGCUUGGCGACGCAGGGUCUCUGCUUUAGUGGAGACUGAUCAUUGCAGCGGCUUUGCCUGAGACCUGCCUCUUGCAGACUUUAGUUCUUUGCAGUAGAGAAAUGCUGAUCCCGCCUGCAUCAGCCUCGGAACUUUGGGAAGAAGGCUGAGGUGUCGUCUGGGCAAGGCGCCAGGGCAGCUGGGAUCUUCUGGGCUCUUCUGGGGGGAAAGGCACCAGGCAAAAGUGUGGGAUUGACCACAGGACAUGCUUCUCUAAGUGCAGGCCUCAGUGCCCCUCAGCCUGCCCUCCUGGGGAGCAGUGAGCAGGGGUGAGCUGAAGCCAUGGGUGCAGUCUGCAAGGACCCAGAGCAGACGGCCCUGGGCAGCUGGCAGAGCUGAGCAGCCAUCUGGGUGCCCAUGAGCCUUAUUGAUAAGGAGUCUGUUUUUUCUUCCUGUAGCUGACAGCUGCUCUCCAAAGACAGAGAGUCGGGGAAACCAGGGUCAGGAUCUUGGACCAGGCCUGCUCCGUUCCACCAAUAUGGCGAGGGUCAGAAAACAAGGCCAGGCUUGCUGUGUGCAUGCGACCAAGGCCAGGAGUGGGAAGACCAGGACCACUCAGUAACAGCUGCGGAGGCCACAGGCAGCUGCUCACGCCAUACCAGGGUCACCCCAGAGAGGCCACCAGGACCCUACGCCUCUUAUUUUCUUUCUCCAUGGAAAACUACAAAUUUGCAGGAUCUGAAGGAGCCUCCCCAGGCUUUUAUUGGGUAAUCGUAUAAGGCAGAGCCUUCCGAGGUUCUAGAAGCUGAGACGGCCCUGGCUAACAACCAGCCAAGAGACAACCACAGAGAACCAAAUUCUAAACACUUGAACAAACUUGUGAGCAGGUUCUUCCCUGGAGCCUCCAAACUAGAGCUGAGAACUUGGGCCUUCCUUGUGAGACCCCGGGCAGAACCCCCUGGGGUCCACCUGGAUUUAUGCCUUGUACAACUGGGAGGUGAUAGAUGAGUGGGUGUUUUGUUAACAUUUGGGGUUUUAGCUGGUAAGUUUGUAGCAAACAGAAUAAAACUAUUUUUUUUGUUUGUAGCAAACAGAAUAAAACCAUUUUUCACACCAAAGAACUUUGUGACAUAGUCUGCUUUAGUGGCUGCAGAAUACCCCAUUCCCUGGCCCUCUCCUACUUUGUCUAAUGUCCCUCCAUGAUGGACGCUAAAUCUGCACUGGACUUAACACCCUCGUUUGCAGAAGGGACCCCCAGGACAGCCCUCACACGGCUCACUCUCAUUCAUGGGGCAAAUUGCUCUCAGAAUCGUCCCCUCCACUCAUGGCCCAUGGCCAGGGCACACCAGACUCCUCAUCCCCAGUGCAUGUUGGGUCUUGCUGCCACCACGCCCAGGUGCAGCCACUCAGUCCACCAUCCCUGUCUGACCUUGGGAAGAUUUCUCUUAAAAAGCAGACCCUCUGCACUUCUGAUUAAAGGAGUGAAAUAGGUGAAAUUUAAACUCAUAGGAAAUAAGCAAAAAAAUGGCAAAGGUAUAUGAAUCAACAAAAGAACUAACUAGAACUAGCCACAGAGAGUUUAGAUAGUGUACAAGACAUGGGGUCGGUAACACAAACGAUCAGAGUUUGCUGGUGAACAAUGAACAGUAAGGAAUUUUUUAAAAUGCCAUUAUUAUAACCUUAGAAAUUUGAAAUAUUUAGGAAAACCCUUAGUAUUGCUGAGAGGAGCUAAACAAAACCUAAAUAGCUCUGGGCCAAAAGUCUGUAUUGUUAAGAUGGUGUUGUGGUUUAAUGAGGUGUCCCCCAAAAGCUCAGGUGUGAGACAAGGCAAGAAGGGUCAGAGGAGAAAUGA
Long non-coding RNA from Marmota monax (woodchuck), 14878 nucleotides. RefSeq lists it as uncharacterized. Lineage: Eukaryota; Metazoa; Chordata; Mammalia; Rodentia; Sciuridae. The record is from RefSeq and is a predicted model, not a curated record. The transcript has 4 exons.